UUUUUUUUUUUUUUUUUAAUAAGAUAUCAGUGAGACAUUCUACCCCACACGGCUAGAGAAGGACAUCUGGAGCCUUGUAAAGGGAAAGACAUGAUAGCUAAGAAGGCCGAGGGACUUCAUUCUGAGGAACAGCCACUUCUGGCCAGGAGAAAAUAAUAACCCCUGUCCUGCCUGCCAAGGGACAGGUUAGGGGUCUUUGGUGCUUCCAACCUCUGACCAACCCAGAGUACACUACACACCGAAGCCCCGUGGCCUUGUGCAGCCAAGCGAGGCCCUACUGAUGGUGCGGGACAGGGAUGUGUCCAUUUCAGAAGAGCCACAUUGUCAUUGUACUGGCAGCUCCCAGCCAAGCCACCGGCGUCACUGUGUCUCAUAUUAACCUGUGCAUACUGUGAGCGACCUUUGUAUGCCUGUGUCCUGUGCAGACUCGGAGCUUUGACCUCAGGCCUUGCUCCUGAUGUCUCCUCUGCAGCAGCUGAAGGACUUUUUAAUGCAUGUACAUUAAACUAAAACUCCUCCGGGUUCUACAAGAGUCGGGUGGGCAAACCUCUUCUUGAUCCAUGUUCGCCCUCCCCCAGAAAUAAACCACUUCCCUU
Molecule: long non-coding RNA, 596 nt
Filed under: Mus musculus (house mouse)
Lineage: Eukaryota; Metazoa; Chordata; Mammalia; Rodentia; Muridae
Description: long non-coding RNA chr11:114720379-114720975
Source: RNAcentral